This 253-nucleotide ribosomal RNA is filed under the name uncultured bacterium. Its description in RNAcentral is "partial 16S ribosomal RNA". It matches the Rfam family "Bacterial small subunit ribosomal RNA", at positions 524 to 776 of the family's 1533-position model. The record is from RNAcentral.
UACGAAGGGGGCUAGCGUUGCUCGGAAUCACUGGGCGUAAAGGGUGCGUAGGCGGGUUUUUAAGUCAGGGGUGAAAUCCUGGAGCUCAACUCCAGAACUGCCUUUGAUACUGAAGAUCUUGAGUCCGGGAGAGGUGAGUGGAACUGCGAGUGUAGAGGUGAAAUUCGUAGAUAUUCGCAAGAACACCGGUGGCGAAGGCGGGACUCUGGGCCGAUACUGACGCUGAGGAGCGAAAGCGUGGGGAGCAAACAGG